CCCUGGUAGUCCACGCCGUAAACGAUGUCGACUUGGAGGUUGUGCCCUUGAGGCGUGGCUUCCGGAGCUAACGCGUUAAGUCGACCGCCUGGGGAGUACGGCCGCAAGGUUAAAACUCAAAUGAAUUGACGGGGGCCCGCACAAGCGGUGGAGCAUGUGGUUUAAUUCGAUGCAACGCGAAGAACCUUACCUGGUCUUGACAUCCACGGAAGUUUUCAGAGAUGAGAAGGUGCCUUCGGGAACCGUGAGACAGGUGCUGCAUGGCUGUCGUCAGCUCGUGCCGAAC
RNAcentral lists this ribosomal RNA (286 nucleotides) under Escherichia fergusonii. Its description in RNAcentral is "partial 16S ribosomal RNA". It matches the Rfam family "Bacterial small subunit ribosomal RNA", at positions 785 to 1070 of the family's 1533-position model. Lineage: Bacteria; Pseudomonadati; Pseudomonadota; Gammaproteobacteria; Enterobacterales; Enterobacteriaceae. The record is from RNAcentral.